AUUGAACGCUGGCGGCAUGCCUUACACAUGCAAGUCGAACGGCAGCACGGGGCAACCUGGUGGCGAGUGGCGAACGGGUGAGUAAUGCAUCGGAACGUGCCAUUGAGUGGGGGAUAACGUAGCGAAAGUUGCGCUAAUACCGCAUAUUCUGUGAGCAGGAAAGCAGGGGACCGCAAGGCCUUGCGCUCUUUGAGCGGCCGAUGUCAGAUUAGCUAGUUGGUGAGGUAACGGCUUACCAAGGCGACGAUCUGUAGCGGGUCUGAGAGGAUGAUCCGCCACACUGGAACUGAGACACGGUCCAGACUCCUACGGGAGGCAGCAGUGGGAAUUUUGGACAAUGGGCGCAAGCCUGAUCCAGCCAUGCCGCGUGAGUGAAGAAGGCCUCGG
RNAcentral lists this ribosomal RNA (387 nucleotides) under uncultured bacterium. RNAcentral describes it as "bacterial SSU rRNA". It matches the Rfam family "Bacterial small subunit ribosomal RNA", at positions 30 to 420 of the family's 1533-position model. The record is from RNAcentral.